CGCGUAGGCGGACCUUCAAGUCGGAUGUGAAAACUGGUGGCUUAACUGCCAGCCUGCAUUCGAUACUGUCGGUCUUGAGUACAGAAAGGGGAAAGUGGAAUUCCAGGUGUAGCGGUGAAAUGCGUAGAUAUCUGGAAGAACACCAGUAGUGAAGGCGACUUUCUGGUCUGAUACUGACGCUAAAGCGCGAAGGCUAGGGUAGCAAACA
RNAcentral lists this ribosomal RNA (208 nucleotides) under uncultured bacterium. RNAcentral describes it as "partial 16S ribosomal RNA". It matches the Rfam family "Bacterial small subunit ribosomal RNA", at positions 568 to 774 of the family's 1533-position model. The record is from RNAcentral.